This 511-nucleotide ribosomal RNA is filed under the name uncultured bacterium. RNAcentral's name for it is "partial 16S ribosomal RNA". It matches the Rfam family "Bacterial small subunit ribosomal RNA", at positions 28 to 523 of the family's 1533-position model. The record is from RNAcentral.
GACGAACGCUGGCGGCGUGCCUAAUACAUGCAAGUCGAGCGGAAGUUGGAGAGCUUGCUCUUCAACUUUAGCGGCGGACGGGUGAGUAACACGUGGGCAACCUGCCCUGCAGAUCGGGAUAACUCCGGGAAACCGGUGCUAAUACCGAAUAGUUUUCGCCACCUCCUGGUGGCGUACGGAAAGACGGUUUCGGCUGUCACUGCAGGAUGGGCCCGCGGCGCAUUAGCUAGUUGGUGGGGUAACGGCCCACCAAGGCAACGAUGCGUAGCCGACCUGGGAGGGUGAUCGGCCACACUGGGACCGAGACACGGCCCAGACUCCUACGGGAGGCAGCAGUAGGGAAUCUUCCGCAAUGGACGAAAGUCUGACGGAGCAACGCCGCGUGAGUGACGAAGGUUUUCGGAUCGUAAAACUCUGUUGUGAGGGAAGAACAAGUACCAACUAACUACUGGUACCUUGACGGUACCUCACCAGAAAGCCACGGCUAACUACGUGCCAGCAGCCGCCGUAA